RNAcentral lists this long non-coding RNA (357 nucleotides) under Salvia miltiorrhiza (redroot sage). RNAcentral describes it as "long non-coding RNA (SMIL_LNC003750)". The record is from RNAcentral. Lineage: Eukaryota; Viridiplantae; Streptophyta; Magnoliopsida; Lamiales; Lamiaceae.
CGUCGUCGGUUUUCCCCAAAUUUUAAAUGACGUGUCACCGGGAAAUGACAGCGUGGCGCCGGAUUUUGCACAGUUGGAAGCCGGAAUGAAAAAAAGAAACGACGCCGUUUCUAAUUAAAAGAAACGACGUCGUUUCGCCAUCCAUUAACACUCAGAUUUCGAAUUAAGCCCUCAUUUUUCGAUUAGGGCUAUACCCUUCCAGGGUUCUUCAUGAAAUCGAUGGAAUUGGAGAGAUUCAUGAGCGAAUCGGUGUAGAAGAAUAGUCCGCAUGCUUGUAAAGGAGUUUUCGACCUAAAAAAUAGGGAUAUUGAUUCGUAGCAAUGUCGUCUACUUCCUCUUCCUCAAAUUCGAGCUUCA